UCAAAAAAUGGGUUUUGUAGCACUGUUCAUUAUACACAAAUAUAUUUAGUUACAUUAACACAUACACAUUUAUUUUUAAGACAAAAUACAAGUGUAAUGUGUUAUGCUAAAUCAAUUUGUUAUUCACUCUGGUUUACCUAAAUACCUAUCUUUAAACUAAAGUAAUUGGUUUACUUUGCGAUAGAGAGUAGACCUAUUAUCAGGUUCAUAUUCCGGAACAGAGGGGGCGGUAAUGCUCCAUUAAGCUGGUUACCAACCGCUGGUAAAAAAGAAAGAAGAAGAAGAAGAAGAAUUUUUUUCAAACUAAAGGAUGUGACGUCAUUUUAACGACUUCCACGAAGACGGCGCGCAGGUGAUGGUGUGUCAUACCACAAUGACUUCUCCAGUCUGGCUAAAAGUUACAAAAGGUGAUCCUUCAGUAUGCCAUUCCUACUUCAGUGAGUGACCUGUCAAAGGAAAUAGAAAAACAAUGUAAUCUACAAGGACAUUUAAGGCUGCAGUUCAUGGAUUCUGACUUGGGCAAUUAGUUUUUAAAUCUCAUGUACACAUCUGAAAUUCAAGACAAAAGUACACUAAAGGUGGUAUUCCUGACAACACCAAGUGAUUGUGACAACUUGCCCCCACCACAACUGAACAGUUCUCAAAAGGAGUACCUGCUCAUCACCAGCUCUUUCACUUUCAUCCUGUGACACAGUCAUUUUUUCAACCCAAUCUACAUCAUUAAGCUCUGACUGUGUUGCAAAAGUGUGUCUUGCCAAAUAUAUAACAAAACUGAGAAAAAUUGGCUGUAAUGAAGUGAAAUUAAAUUUACUCAAGCCCAAACCAGCUGGAAUUUCCAGUGCUGUUUACCAUAUAUAUAUAAAAAAAAACAUGCAAUGCUGAGGUGAACUACUGCCCUUACCAUCCACAAGCGGAGACAUCCAAAACACUGGAAGUAGUCAGUUUAAUACUUCUGUCUGAAAUUAAAAAGAACAAUAAGAAAACAUUAUGAAUGCGGAUGGACAAGACCUUUUCUAUCAGGAGACAUGAGGUUGUCAAGGAAUCGCCUUCAAUAGCAGAUUUCAAAACUAGAUGGCCUGCUCUUUUCAGAAGGGAAGAGAUUUGUGCACAGUUUAAAAGAAUCACAACAGCCACAUUGGUGUCUACAUACUUGGCGAAGAUGAAUCCAUAUUCUGCAAAGCUUAUAAGGAUCUAUGCAAAACGAGGAGUCGUCAAUGGACAGAGAAUUAAAAACCUGCUGGUCUCCACAACACGGACUGACAACAUUGAUCAGACUCUGAUCUUUCUUUGUCUACCUGAAUGAAGACCCGACCGGUCUAAUUAAAGAGUAUUUGGAUACAGAUGCACCCAGUACCCAGGAGGCGAUCCAGAAGAUGGUAAUGGGAGUGCUUGUUGUAAAAAUGUAUGGUUCAGACAUCGAAGACAGCCCAGCAGAUGUUGGAGUGUUAUUAAAGGGAUUAAGAGUUCUCGGACCUCAACAACAUUGUGUAUGCAACAACCAUGCUGAUGGGACUGAAAUAUGAACUGAACUUGAGCUACUUUCCCAAAUUCAGGUACACUUUUGAAGUAUUGCAGUUGUUGUUUCUGGAGCUAGAUGGGAAGUAACUAUCUCAUAAAGUUCAGACGCUGAAGACCAAGCCUUUUGCAGAUGUUUUGAGAAAGGAAUGUUUUAAUAUUUCAUAUGUAAAUGCCAUGUUUUUGAAAUGGCAGUACAAUAACAUUCAGGAAGUAAGCAGUGUCGUCAAUUUAUUUUGAUAGUUUUGCAGUGUGUUUCUAUUUAAUUAGAUUAAUGUAGAGUUGUUUAAAGCUUUGGCUGUACGUAAAUGGUCCUGCAUCUAAUUUGUCAUGGAAUGUUAACGUUUAUAAUGUUUUUACAGUACCAUUUAACUUAAAAUUAUACCAAAGUUGUUGAAAAAUCUUUGGAAGUCGCAUGUGCCAGCUCUCUGAAUGGAGAGCAACCUAUUUUGUCAGUUAGCAUUACAGUUGUGUAAUAAUGUUGUUUAAUUAUACGUAUCCGGGGGCUUGAAAAAACUGCCUGAAUGGUGCUUCGUGCAUUUCAUUUGUCAGUAAGUGUAAAAAAUUGUAAUGUUAUAAGGUUACAUUGUAAUAUCCAACUUUGCAAGUUUUUCAAGUUGAUGAGUGCAUCUCAUUUGUCGGUAUAUCCUUUACGGUAUCUGUAGUUUAAGUGCAAUAAACAUGGCUUGAAGAACUGGUGUCUGAGAAUCUUUUAUGAAUAAAAUGAAUGUUAUAUAGAGUUUAUUACAAAAAGUAUAUUUUUGUGUGUGAUUUAACUUGAAAUAGAAAUUGUUGUGUUAAAGUAAAUAAAAGUAAUUGGAUGGAACCACUGUCCACAAUGUAAAUGAGUUGUAUGAAUAAACUACUCUUGAUUUGGACAAGCAAAAAAUAUUUGAUUAGUUUGUACAAGUUAAACACAUGUUCAGAAAACGUAACAAUCUUAAGUUAUGGAUAAGUAACUAAGAUAAUUUUGUUAAACAUUACCACUUCACAUUAGUUAUUUAUUAUUCAAUUGUGUUGCUGCAACAAAAGAAUUUGGCAUUGACUGAAAACAACCCUUAAAUGUUAAUAAAAACUAACUGGGUUGUGUGGAACCACUGUCCACAAUAAAAUUGUGUUCGUUUAAAGUAU
This is a non-coding RNA of Paramisgurnus dabryanus, 2646 nucleotides long. NCBI's taxonomy places the organism in Eukaryota, Metazoa, Chordata, Actinopteri, Cypriniformes, Cobitidae. The record is from RefSeq and is a predicted model, not a curated record.